GGGGGGGGCGGCUGGAGGCUCAGGUUUCCCCCCACCAUCCUCCGCUUCUUUGGUGCUGGCAGUGAUUGGCCGUGGCCAUGAUGUCAUCGCCUAAUCCAAACAGAAGGGGGGUUGGUGCUGGCUGGCGUCCCCAUGCUGAGUGCAGCAGUAAAUUUCAUUUCAAGGCUAUGAUUAGGACAGUGCCCAAGAAUUUCCUUUCUCUCUCCUUCCCUCUCCCCAUCCUAUUUUUCUUCCUGUUCUCCUGUCUCUCCUUCCCUCCCCUCCUCUCCCCUGGCCCUCUCUUCUCCGGGAUGCUGAAGGUUCGCCCGGUGGCCAGCACCGGUCCAGGCUCUUGCCGCCUUCCGUGAGGCUCCGUGACCAGCCCUGGCAUGUACGGGCUCGGUCCCAGCCCCGAGACGGCACCCAGGGAGUACGGGGUGAGAAUCCCUAAGGGCGCUCGUUCAACCUUGAGCUGAAACGCCAGAACAGGAGAGAGAGCAGGGGUGGGGUGGCCCGGGUCAUCAACGAAAAGAUCGGAAGACAGCAGAGCCAUGAGAGGCAAGGAGAAACGCAGCUCCUUAGAAAGUGAGUCGUUGGGUCCUUAUGGCCAUCUCCAGAUGGUUUCUGGAGUUUGGGUCUGGCCCAUUGGCACCUUCAGCCCCUCCUUGGCUGGGGGGACCUGCCGGGCUCCACACCCUUUGGUGACUGCGUCUGACGCCAAAGGGACGGUCCAGCCCCCAGAGGCAGGUGGGACCAUGGGAGCGGUUCCACACCAUAUCCCCCUGCUUCUCUCCUCUUCCCGGGGACCCCCAAGCUCUGUCCUAGGGUUCCUGGCCCCAGAGAGAAGCCUGAGAGCCAGCCACCUGAGUGUCCCCUGCAUCCUCCAGCUGCCACUCAGCACACCCCCAACAAGUGUGACCUAGAUGCCCACGGGGGAGGCGCUGGGGUCUGGGGGUGGUGAUGUUCCUGCACCGAGCGCGCUGUGGGUCCUCGUCAUUGCUCCCCUAUCGCAUCGGACUGUGGUCUGACUCCUCGGGGACGUGGGGGGGGGGCGCCCGCGUUCCCCGACCCCCGACCUCCAGCAGACCCGAGCACUCCUUCCCCACCGAGCCUUGGUGUGGCCCAAGAUCCCUCCUCGCUGUGCCCCAGGCCGCGGGCCCAGCCAGCCGAAGGCAGCGCCCAGUGGAGUUGCGUGGAGAAUGAGUCGCCCUAAGAGGGAGCGGGGAUGGACAUGACCCGGUCAUAGCUCACUGUCUGGCCUCCUUAGGCCCCUUGCGUGUCCCCUAGCAGGUUACUCGUCUUUGUGUCUGUCUUCCCCUCGACUCCCUGCUCCUUAAGGUUAUGGCUCAUUUGUUCGUUCAUCGAUUCAGUGAGGAUGUGUUGGGCACCCGCCAUCUGCCAGGCCUGUGCAGGUGCCGGGCGCCCAGAGGGAACAGACGUGGCCCGGUUUUUCCUCCAGCAGCAACCGGCCGUUAGCAGAAACGCGGACAGAAACAAGUACAAGCAGCAUACUCACAUGGAGGGAGAGCCACCCAUCCCCAGCUUCCAGAACCAUCAGCUCAUCAGCACCGGCCCCAGUGGGAUCUUCUGAAGCAAAUCCCAGAUGUUGUAGUUCCUGGCCAUACGCCCAAUCAGGGUCCACUGAACCAGGCUGCCCGGUGACUUCUGCUUGUGACCCGGAAGGCCUCUCUGCCCUGAACCCCCUCCCUUGGACACCAGGGUUGGAGGAGACCCAGGGGAGGGCAGAGCAUCUCAAGUGUGGGCUCCAUGCUGUCAGCACAGAGUCGAACAUGGGGCUUGAACUCAUGAACCACAUGAUCAUGACCUAAUCUGAAGGCGGACCCUUAGCUGACUAAACCCAGGAAGGCAUCUACGCGAGGCUGGUGUGCUAGUGGCAAGUCCCGAGCAGGGUGUGACGAUCUCGAACGGCAGAGAGUCCCGGGGCCACCCAAGUUCCAGCCGUUCUCAGACGCGUGACCCCACAACCCGCCUCCCCAGGCCCGCCGCGGCCCUCGUCCCGUCCUCAUGUGCACGGAGCCGCACGCGAGACGGGCAGCUCACCCACUUGUGCUGGGGGCUCGGGGCUGAAGCCUCUGCUGAUCUUUGGGCCCCUUGGGGCGGGGGGCUCAGCCGGUCCAGCGUCCGACUGCGGCUCAGGUCACGAUCUCGCGGUCUGUGAGUUCGAGCCCCGCGUCGGGCUCUGUGCUGACAGCUCGGAGCCUGGGGCCCGCUUCCCAUUCUGUGUCUCCCCCUCUCUCCCUGCCCCUGCCCUGCUCACACUCUGCCUCUCUUUCUCUCUCUUGAAAAAUGAAUAAAUGUUAAGAAAAACAUUUUUAAAGCCUCUGCUGGUCUCCAGCCAGGGAUUCAUGACAGGUGAGAUUCUCUGCCACCCUCUCCGUCUCCAGUGGGUCACCCCCCAAGCUCCAGCUGCUUGAGAGGUGAGUGCCUGUGGCCCCCCCACCGCCCUUACAGUGAACAUCGUGUGACCCCUGCAUGGGGAGAUGCCAAGGCCACUUUUUGUUGAAAUGCAACACACAUGCAGAGAACACAGACCUUAAGGGUGAAUGGAGCUCGGUCCAUCCCUGCCGUGUGCACACAGCUCGCGACCACCGUCCAGAACAAGAAAUGGCCCGUCACCAGCACGCGUGGAGCACCGCCUCCUGCGUGUCCCCUCCGGGUCAGUCCUCCCUGCUUAGACCUCGGCCCUGACCACCAGCACUGGGACUCACUCUGCCAGGCUUCUAUUUUAGGCCAGGCCGCCUCAAACACACAUUGUGCCAAAAACCUGUCCGGUCAUUUCUGCAAAGAUGAUUUGACUGGCUUAGAAAAUACGUACUCACGGCUUGGUUCAGUUAGACUUUGAAUUUCUAAGCAACCGUCCGUCUGUCUUUAUCGGUAUCGGGUGACCACGUCAGAGGAAAAGUCAGCAACAUCCAGAAUGAUCCCACCCCUCCCUUCCCUUUCUGGGGGAGCACCCUGGGACAGGACAGAAGCACAGGCGACACAUGAGGGGAAGUUCCACUCCCCGGGGACAACGAGAAGAUGUCAGACAUCGUGACGCCCCUGAGUCGACAGGCCCUGGGACCCUGCUUCCGGGCUCCCUGUCAGGUGACGUUUUCAAACCGUUCUUGUCUACACCCGUCGAGUGUGGGUUUUCGUUCACUGGCAGGCCAGACAGAGGGCCAGCGUCCGGACAGGAGCCGGGGGUCUCUCAGGCGGGUGAAGAAGGCCCUGAGCCCGGGACGGCGACCGGCUGGUUCUGGCGGAAGGGCCGCGAACCCGGGGCUCAGGCCUUGGGCGCCCCCGGGUGCAGAGGGAGCCGGCCGGGUAUGCUUUUGUCAGACCAACUCUCAGAACACGCUUGCUUUCGAGGCUUUCUUUUAUCGGUGCUCCGCAAAGCGGCUUCACGUGCAAAAGCUCCCCCGUAGCCUGGGUGUGGGAGGGAAUCUGACUCAUGAGAAGCCGGCCUCCAAGGGUGGCAGCGUGUCCUGGGCUGAGGCCACAGCCAUCACCAGGCGACGUGCUGAUAACAGAACAGCACCAGCGGCCUCCUGCCGCUGCCCUGGGAAGACGCACUCACGCGCCUGCCCUCUUCCACCGAGGUCGCCUCUGGAGGGACUCCAGGGCAGCCUCCUUCCUGCAUUUCAGCUUUGAAAAUGACAGGCCAGGG
Long non-coding RNA from Felis catus (domestic cat), 3649 nucleotides. RefSeq lists it as uncharacterized. The record is from RefSeq and is a predicted model, not a curated record. The transcript has 5 exons. NCBI's taxonomy places the organism in Eukaryota, Metazoa, Chordata, Mammalia, Carnivora, Felidae.